This 449-nucleotide ribosomal RNA is filed under the name uncultured bacterium. RNAcentral's name for it is "partial 16S ribosomal RNA". It matches the Rfam family "Bacterial small subunit ribosomal RNA", at positions 29 to 523 of the family's 1533-position model. The record is from RNAcentral.
AACGAACGCUGGCGGCAUGCCUAAUACAUGCAAGUCGAACGAGACCUUCGGGUCUAGUGGCGCACGGGUGCGUAACGCGUGGGAAUCUGCCCUUGGGUUCGGAAUAACAGCGGGAAACUGCUGCUAAUACCGGAUGAUGACGUAAGUCCAAAGAUUUAUCGCCCAGGGAUGAGCCCGCGUAGGAUUAGCUAGUUGGUGGGGUAAAGGCCUACCAAGGCGACGAUCCUUAGCUGGUCUGAGAGGAUGAUCAGCCACACUGGGACUGCGACACGGCCCAGUAUCGUACGGGAGGCAGGAGUAUGGAAUAUUGGACAAGGGGCGAUAGCCUGAUCCAGCAAUGCCGCGUGAGUGAUGAAGGGCUUUGUGUUGUAAAGCUCUUUUACCCGAGAUGAUAAUGACGGUAUUGGGAGAAUAAGCUCCGGCUAACUCCGUGCCAGCCGCCGCCGUAA